AAAAAGGUAUGAUGGGUAAUGUGCGCUAGUGGGUGUAAUGUAAUUUAAAAUGCAGAACAUAUUACACUAUUUAGGAAGAGAUCAUGUAAAUACAUGAUUUGCAACCCAUUUAUCAUCAUUCAAAGCUGCCAUUUUUGCGGGCAGAUUGCCAUUUUUUUCUUUCUUCAAAAACUGGUAUACGUAAAUCCUGAACAGUAAACUCGCCGUUGAGAGAAAAUUACUACCUUGAUAAUCACAAAGUAAAGAGAUAAGCAACUAGAUGAUGGCAGGGAAAUCGUAGAGUGACUCUACCCAUGCCAAGGAUGAAUAGACUGUCAAGAAAAGCUCUGUAUAAGUGGUCUUUUUCAAAAUUCUAACUUCUUUUCUUCUGGUAACUGUCAUUUCCUGAACAGUGCUGCUAAGGAACCGUAAGGUGUAGUCGUGGAGGAUUUGAAGGUGAGACUGGAGAGCCUUCGCUAGAAUCUCCCCGCCAUCCAUCCUGAACUUGAGCAGCAAACUGCAAGUUCCACAUCACAUCCUCGACUGAAGGUCUAUCUGCUGGGUUCUUAAGCAGGCACCUUACACAGACCUCCAUCAUUGUCUUCAAUGACUGAUCCGGACACCCCCUCUGAACAGCUGGAUCAACCAUGCUCCUUCGAGCAGCAUCGUCACUAGUGAUGCCAACUUGUAACUGAUCUUUUAAAACAUCCACUUCAUUCGUGUGAUUCAGGGGUCUUCCCACAAUGAUUUCAAGUAACAUUACUCCAAAGUCAUACACAUCAAUCUUCUCUUCUUGAUUUGUCCUUGAACUGGAGCUAGGAUCUUUGGAUCCACCAGAAGAAACUCCAUAGACAACCUUUCCUGCGUUCUCUGCUAAUAAAGGCAGGUUAUAACUACUAAUUUUUGCAACAAGGUUCUGAUCCAGCAAAACAUCUGUUAUUUUCAGAUUAUUUGAAUGUAUUCCUGGCACUAUCCCUGUAUGCAAAAACUGUAUGCCUUUUGCUACACCUAUUGCAGCUGAUAUUCGUUGUGCCCAAUUAAGUGUUUGUCUGGCAUGUCUCUCUGAGAUCCAACUCCUUAGUGUGCCAUUUGGCACAUAUUCAAAUACAAGAAAUAUUCUGCUGACACUUGAAUCAUCCAAGUAACAUUCAAAGCAGUGUCCGAGAGCACUGACCAGAUUUCGAUGCCUCAGUUUUGAAAUCAGCUCUAUAUGGUACAUAAAGUUUUGGGUGCUGUAACUCCUUUUCAUUUUUAGGCAUCUAAUGGCAACAUAGGAACCAUUCUUAAGCCGGCCCUUAUACAUCUGCCCUUGAGAGCCUUCACCCAUGAAAGUAGCUGUGUCGAAGUUGUUUGUAGCCUCCUCAAGCUCCUCCAAAGAAAAGGAACGGUAAGCUGGAAUGCCAAGUGCUCCCAACUUCAUUGUUUGAGAUAUAUACCUUGCAUCUGAGAGUAACUUUGAAGGGUACCCAGUUGAUGCAUUCUCUGAAAUUAGUCUUGUUGUAGGUCUCUUGAUUGUCUUCCUGGCAUUGGACUUUUUAACAGCCAAGAAAAUCAAAACAACAAGUGCAAUUCCUCCAACAAUCCCUCCAAUUGCACCCAAUGCAAUAAUUUUAGAAUCUCGUCUCCUUUUCUUGCGCUGAGGCAAAAUUCCUACGGCUAAUGCUUCAUUCCGACAAAAGGAAAGUGGAUGUUGACUUUGAUCCCUUGUUGCUAGACAGUUCCCGGCAUACAUGAUCUUUUCCUUAGAAUCUGAGUGAAGGCACUCAGGCAAGUGUCCACUUAUAAGAUUUGAGGACACAUCCACAAAUUCAAGGUCAGCACUGCAAGAUUGAUUUUCAAAAAGCACUCCUGUGAACUUAUUAUCUGCAACAUUUAGAUAAGUUACGGAAGGCAAAGAUAACAAAUAUUGUGGAAAUGGCCCCACAAAUUUAUUGUGUGAGAGGUCUAGAUGUUGAAGUUGAUAAUAUGAGCUCACUUCAGCUGGGAGGCCAUCCCUGAAUUUGUUCUUGCUCAGGACAACAGUAACUAACUUGUUUCCAAGCUGAGGAAACUGGGGUCCAAAAGCAUUAU
This 2049-nucleotide unclassified non-coding RNA is filed under the name Hevea brasiliensis (rubber tree). The record is from RNAcentral. Lineage: Eukaryota; Viridiplantae; Streptophyta; Magnoliopsida; Malpighiales; Euphorbiaceae.